This 242-nucleotide long non-coding RNA is filed under the name Dromaius novaehollandiae (emu). Its description in RNAcentral is "lncRNA (ENSDNVG00000016714.1)". The record is from RNAcentral. Lineage: Eukaryota; Metazoa; Chordata; Aves; Casuariiformes; Dromaiidae.
UGAUGUGCAGUCAUCAUUGGUGAGCUAUCUUUGUGUGUGCUCAAGCUUUGGACCACAUGUCUGCUUUGCCUGCAUAUGAGAAACAAGGAUGGAAUGUUCAAAAGGUUAUAGGAAUCAGAAGAGGACYGCAAGGCACAAUAUAUAAACCUAUUUUCAUGAUUUGCAAAUGAGAUGAGGAUAAGUGUCUUUAAUGAAGUCCAUGGCAGUUACGGAAAGAACCAACCACCAAAAAAAAAAAAAUC